GUGCUUGCUUUGGCAGCACAUAUACUAAAACUGGGACAAUGCAGAGAUGGUUAGCAUGGCCCCUGCAUAAGGAUGACACACAUGUGUGAAGUGUUGCGUACUUUU
Oryctolagus cuniculus (rabbit) is the source of this 105-nucleotide small nuclear RNA. The record is from Ensembl. Lineage: Eukaryota; Metazoa; Chordata; Mammalia; Lagomorpha; Leporidae.